UAGGGAAUAUUGCACAAUGGGCGCAAGCCUGAUGCAGCCAUGCCGCGUGUGUGAAGAAGGCCUUCGGGUUGUAAAGCACUUUCAGCGAGGAGGAAGGGUAGUGUGUUAAUAGCACAUUGCAUUGACGUUACUCGCAGAAGAAGCACCGGCUAACUCCGUGCCAGCAGCCGCGGUAAUACGGAGGGUGCAAGCGUUAAUCGGAAUUACUGGGCGUAAAGCGCACGCAGGCGGUUUGUUAAGUCAGAUGUGAAAUCCCCGCGCUUAACGUGGGAACUGCAUUUGAAACUGGCAAGCUAGAGUCUUGUAGAGGGGGGUAGAAUUCCAGGUGUAGCGGUGAAAUGCGUAGAGAUCUGGAGGAAUACCGGUGGCGAAGGCGGCCCCCUGGACAAAGACUGACGCUCAGGUGCGAAAGCGUGGGGAGCAAACA
Molecule: ribosomal RNA, 427 nt
Filed under: uncultured bacterium
Lineage: Bacteria
Description: partial 16S ribosomal RNA
Rfam family: Bacterial small subunit ribosomal RNA
Source: RNAcentral